GACGUAGGGGGCGAGCGUUAUUCGGAAUCACUGGGCUUAAAGCGCGUGUAGGCGGAUGGGAACGUCGGUAGUUGAAAGCCCCCGGCUCAACCGGGGAAGUGGUGCCGAAACGACCCGUCUGGAGGGACGUAGGGGGACCUGGAACUUCCGGUGGAGCGGUGAAAUGCGUUGAGAUCGGAAGGAACGCCCGUGGCGAAAGCGAGGUCCUGGACGUCUGCUGACGCUGAGACGCGAAAGCUAGGGGAGCGAACGGG
RNAcentral lists this ribosomal RNA (254 nucleotides) under uncultured bacterium. RNAcentral's name for it is "partial 16S ribosomal RNA". It matches the Rfam family "Bacterial small subunit ribosomal RNA", at positions 524 to 776 of the family's 1533-position model. The record is from RNAcentral.